UCGAAAUGUAAAUAAGAAAUACUCAAGUUAAUAAAGAAAAAAAGAUGACAAAAAAAGAAUAUUUGAAAUUAAAAAAAAAAUAACCAGAAGCUGGAAAGAAACCAGAUGUCCUUUAACAGAAGAAUGGAUACAGAAAAUGUGGUAUAUUUACACAAUGGAGUACUACUCAGCUAUUAACAAUGACCUCAUGAAAUUCAUAGGCAAAUGGAUGGAACUAGAAAAUAUUCUGAGUGAGGUAACCUAAUCACAAAAACGCACAUUAUGCACUCAGUGAUAAAUGGAUAUUAGCCCAAAAGUUCAUAAUACCCAAGAUAUAAUUUACAGAGCACAUGAAACUCAUUAUGCACUACCUUCAGUCCUUCUUAGAAUGGGAACAAAAAUAUUCAUAGGAGGAAAUACAGAGACAAACAUUGGAGCAGAGACCGAAGGAAAGGCCAUCCAGAUAUUGUCUUACCUGGGGAUCCAUUCCGUAUGCAGCCAAUAAACCAAGACAAAAUUCUUGAUGCCAAGAAGUGCAUGCUGACAAGAGUCUGAUAUAGCUGCCUCCUGAGAGGCUCUGCCAGAGCCUGACAAAUACAGAGACGAAUGCUGGCUGUCAACCAUUGAACUGAGAAUGGGGUCCCGGUUGGAGAAAUUAGAGAAAGGAUUGAAGGAAUUGUAGGUAUUUGCAACCUCGUAAGAACACCAAUAUCCAAGAACCAGAGCACCCAGGAACUAAACCGCCAUCCAAAGAGUACACGUGGACAGACCCAUGGCUCCAGCUGUAAAUGUAGCAUUGGCCUUGUUAGGCACCAAUGGGAGGAGAAGACUUUGGUCCUGCAGAGGCUGUACAGCCCCCAGUUUAGGGGCAUGUCAGGGGGGCGAGCCUAGAAAGGUUGGAUGGUGAAACAAAUUCAUAAAAGACGGGUGAGGGGAGGAGUAAAGGGGUUUAUGGAUGGGAAACUGGGAAAGGGGAUAACAUUUGAAAUGUAAAUUAAAAAAAGAAAAUAUGACUUAACAUUUCCAAUUAUGUGUCACUUUGUAAAAUAAUAACAUUAUAUACCCAAACAUACAAUACUUAUUCUUUUGAAGUAAAAACUUAGGACAUGUAUGACACUAUUCAUUAAGUAACAGGCGAAGCAUAAAAACGAAAUAUGAAAAUCGCAAAUGUUGAACUAAGCUUUUCAUAUUUCAAAGACAUCACAAAAUUCUAUCUUACUGAAAAUAAAAUACUUGGGGUUGUCUGACCUGAUUUGCUGAUUCAAGAGCCUUUCCCGUCAAACCAAUUUUAUUUCUUAAAAGUGCAUUUACGUUCCAAGUCAAUUACUAGCUGAAAAUGUUUUAAAUGUUGAAUGUUAUCCCAUCUCCAGUGAAACUGUCACCUCGCCAAGGGUUGUUGGCUUAGUUAGGGAAAAACAAUUCCAACUACCAAGAAUAGUUUUCUUCUUUAAAAGCUUAAAGCUAUUCUGAAUCUCGGUAUUUUUUAUGUAUUUCUAUAGAAUUGCCACUACAAAUUAAUCAUUUCCUAUACAAAUAAAAAUUGAUGUCACAAGCAGAAAGAGCUUUUCAAGAUGUGCCAGCGAGUUUUAUGGACUUAUAUAUAUCCUUCAAGACUAAUAGAAAAUGUUAUAUACCAAGUUGGUUGUUUUGUUCAAGUUUCACAUUGUUUCAAAGGAAACAGUUCUCUUACUAUCCAAGUAUUAAAUGUGAAAAUACUUUCUCUAUCAAUUUUAUGAGCUUUCCAACCAUCUUGACACACGGUGAUCUGAAGAAUAAGCACCAAAAUUACCAAAGGUAUAUUGGAAGAUGCGAAAAGGUACCAUACAUUACAGGCCAUUGUCUGCAUUAUUGUGAGAUUUUUAAAAUAGAGAAAUAAAACAUCAGAGGAAAUGUC
This is a non-coding RNA of Rattus norvegicus (Norway rat), 1873 nucleotides long. Lineage: Eukaryota; Metazoa; Chordata; Mammalia; Rodentia; Muridae. The record is from RefSeq and is a predicted model, not a curated record.